This 76-nucleotide transfer RNA is filed under the name Dehalococcoidia bacterium. RNAcentral's name for it is "tRNA-Met". It matches the Rfam family "tRNA". From Rfam's summary of the family: Transfer RNA (tRNA) molecules are approximately 80 nucleotides in length. Their secondary structure includes four short double-helical elements and three loops (D, anti-codon, and T loops). Lineage: Bacteria; Bacillati; Chloroflexota; Dehalococcoidia. The record is from RNAcentral.
GGGCCUGUAGCUCAGCGGUUAGAGCGUCCGGCUCAUAACCGGGGGGUCGGUGGUUCGAAUCCACCCGGGCCCACCA